AUGAAGAAGAUCAAGAGUGGGAAUGAGCUAGUGGAAGAAGUGAAGAAGAUUGAGAAUAACAUCAACGCUGGCAGUACUAUUUCUUCACAGCUUGAGCUGAGUAAUUCUCGGAUUCCCCUUGAUACAUGUGAGGUUCCAAUACCGUCACAUCUAGCUGAGCAAGAUAGCAAGUGCCUUGAGCAAGAGAUACCUCAGAUUGAAGAAGAUGAACUAGAAGACAAGGAACAAGAUGAUCAAGAGCUGCAAUUCCCAAGUGAUCAAGUUGAAGACUCAUCAUCUACUACUCCUGAAGAAGUACAAGAAGCUGCUGUAGAUGAAGAUGAAGAACCUGAGAUUCAUUGGCCUAUUGUCAUACAUGAGCGUGAUGUGUCAGGUUUACCCAAUCCUCUUGAUGACAUGCUUCCGUAUAAUUUCUUUGCUACUACCUUACGUUACAUGAUACCAUCACUUAGGAUUGAUUUGAAAACUCAUUUGCUUGGAUAUGAUGAUAUAUACACUGUUAGUGGCAUUACUCUCAUUUGUGAUGAUCAUAGUUAUUUUCCUCGUGCUAGUCCUAUGCUUAAUGAAACAUAUAAUUCCCAUGCUAGUCUUGAGCUUAAUGAUAAAUAUCAUCCUCAUGUUAGUGUUGAACUUGCCGAUUUCUACCAUCCUAAACAUGUGCUUUAUAGCUAUGCUUAUGUAAUUGAAUAUUCGAUUGAUGACUUGGAGGGUAUUAUCCCUCCACUUGCAUUGUCUCUUUCAUUGAGUGCUCUUUCAGGUUCUUGCUUGUGCAUGAAUCACUACAUGCUAACCAGGUUCGAGGUGACAUUCCUUGGGACCUUGGUGGAUCCUGAGCACGGAGAUGAGGAUAAGCAAUGGGCACACACGUGA
RNAcentral lists this ribosomal RNA (870 nucleotides) under Triticum aestivum (bread wheat). Its description in RNAcentral is "partial small subunit ribosomal RNA". Lineage: Eukaryota; Viridiplantae; Streptophyta; Magnoliopsida; Poales; Poaceae. The record is from RNAcentral.